GUUUGCCUAAAAUAUUUUGUCUUCUUGUAGACAUAAGAAAAAUUAAUUGCUCUGACUUUUUUUUUCUCUGUAAUGUUCUGAUGUCCCGGCAUGCCAAUGCCUGAGAAAACCUAAAUCACAGAAUGAGUAAUAUUCUGUAGCUGAGGACUGGAAUUUUGAUUGCCCAAGGUCAUGGAAGUCUUAUUGCAGCAUAGGAGUCAACCCCAAAUAAACAAACAAUCCAAGCGGCCACCUGACCUCUCCGGAAAAAAAGUCCUUCUCUCUUUAAGGAGUUUAACUUGCCUUCCCUCAAUACAACAGUGAAGAACAAGAAUGCUGAGAUUUCUCCAGGACACACCUGUGCACUGUUGCAGAGCAGCUGAUCUUGGGGAAGGCUGGUUUUGCCACACAGGUGGUGACAGGGCAGUCUCAACAGGCUCCCAACCCAACCAAAUAAAGUCCUGUAAGGUCCGGGAGGCUGUGGAUUGUCUCACAAUGUUCGAUGCGGAGUCUCUGAAACCACGCAUCAAGCAUCAGAGCAAAGAAGAGAAUCUACACUUUCCAGUUCCUGGUUCUGCCCUCUCUAAAGCACUGCAAGAGCGAUCUCCAUGGAGACAAACAUCGAACUCACUCCCUCCAGUUUGUAAAACUGAAUGUGAAUGGCCAUUCCAAAUCGGCUGUCUUAAUCCACUCAGAGCAGCAGGAAGUAUUUAACUGUUCAACAUAUUAAAUGAACAAAAAAAUACAGGCUGUGCCAAUUACCAGGAUGUAGUAGACUUAGUCACAUGAAGAACUCCAGGUCUGGGCAAAGACUUCUUGAGCAAUACCCGACAAGCAGAAGCAACCAAAGAAAACAUGGACAAAUGGGAUCACAUCAAGUUAAGAAGCUUCUGCACAGUAAAGGAUACAAUCAACAAAGUGAAGAGAUGAAUCAUGGAAUAGGAUGUAAUAUUUGCAAACUAACCGUCUGACAAGGGAUUAAUAACCAGAAUAUAUAAGGAGCUCAAACAACUCUAUAGGAAAAAAUCUAAUAAUCUGAUCCAAAAAUGAGCAGAAGAUUUGAAGACACAUUUCUCAAAAUAAGACAUACAAAUAGCAAAGGGACAUAUGAAAAGGUGCUCAACAUCAUUAAUCAUCAGAGAAAUGCAAAUCGUGACUACAAUGCGAUACCAUCUUACUCCCGUUAAAAUAGCUUAUAUCCAAAAGACAGGCAAAAAACAAAUGCUGGCGAGGAUGUGGAGAAAAGGGAACCCUCGUACACUGUUGGUGGGAAUGUAAAUUGGUACAACCACUAUGGAGAACAGUUUGGAGGUUUCUCAAAAACCUAAAAAUUGAACUGCCAUAUGAUUCAGCAAGCCCACUGCUAGGUAUAUACCCAAAAGAAAGGAAAUUAGUCUAUCGAAGAUGUAUCUGCACUCUUAUGUUUGUUGCAGCACUGUUGACAACAGCUAAGAUUUGGAAGCAACCUGUGUCCAUCAACAGAUGAACAAAUACAGAAAAUGUGGUGCAUAUACAAAAUGAACUACCAUUUAGCCAUAAAAAAGAAUAAGAUCCAGUCAUUUGCAACAAUAUGGGUGGAACUGGAGAUCAUUUUGUUAAGUGAAAUAAGCCAGGCACAGAAAGACAAAUAUCACAUGUUCUCACUUAUUUGUGGGAUUUAAAAAUCAAAUCAAUUGAACUCAUGGAGAUAGAGAGUAGAAGGAUGGUUACUAGAGGCUGGGAAGGGUAGUGGGGAGUUUGGGGGAUGGGCCGGGAUGGUUAAUGGGCACAAAAAUGAGAAAGAAUAAAUAAGACCUACUUUUUAAUAGCACAAUAAGGUGACUAUAGUCAAUAAUAACUUACUUGUAUAUUUUGAAAUAAAGAAUGUAAUUUGAUUGUUUGUAAACUAAAGGAUAAAUGCUCGAGAGGAUGGAGAUCCCAUUCUCCCUGAUGUGCUUAUUUCACAUUGCAUGCCUGUACCAAAACAUCUCAUGUACCCCAUAAAUGUAUACACCUACUAUGUACCCACAAAAUUUAAAAAAAAUAAAGAAAACUCCAGUUGUUUAGAUACCUAGAUGUGGCC
Papio anubis (olive baboon) is the source of this 2041-nucleotide long non-coding RNA. The record is from Ensembl. Lineage: Eukaryota; Metazoa; Chordata; Mammalia; Primates; Cercopithecidae.